CUGUGCAAAGGUAGCAUAAUCAUUAGCUUUUUAAUUGGGGGCUUGUAUGAAUGGUUUGACAAAGGAGAAGCUGUCUUUAUUUUUAUUAUUGAAUUUAACUUUUAAGUGAAAAGGCUUAAAUAAAUUUAAGGGACGAUAAGACCCUAUAAAUCUUUAUAUUAAAUUGUAAUUUUAUAGUUUAAUGGGUUUGUCUAGAGUGUGAGUGUGUCAAUAGAUAUUUUGUUGGGGUGAUGAGAAUACAAAAUUAACUGUUCUUUUAUAAAACAAAGUUGUUUGUAAAAAGUUAAUAGAUCCUUUUUAAAGAUCAAAAGUUUAAGUUACUUUAGGGAUAACAGCGUUAUUUUUUUUGAGAGUUCUUAUCGAAAAAAGAGUUUGCGACCUCGAUGUUGAAUUAAAAUUUCUCUGUGGUGAAGAAGUUACGGGAAGAAAGUCUGUUCGACUUUUGAAGUUUU
This 452-nucleotide ribosomal RNA is filed under the name Paramunida granulata. RNAcentral's name for it is "partial 16S ribosomal RNA". It matches the Rfam family "Bacterial large subunit ribosomal RNA", at positions 1946 to 2597 of the family's 2925-position model. The record is from RNAcentral. Lineage: Eukaryota; Metazoa; Arthropoda; Malacostraca; Decapoda; Munididae.